UACGUAGGUGGCAAGCGUUGUCCGGAUUUAUUGGGUUUAAAGGGUGCGUAGGCGGCCCUAUAAGUCAGUGCUGAAAUAUCCCGGCUUAACCGGGAGGGUGGCAUUGAUACUGCGGGGCUUGAGUAAAGUUGAGGUUGGCGGAAUUGACGGUGUAGCGGUGAAAUGCUUAGAUAUCGUCAAGAACACCUAUUGCGAAGGCAGCUAACUAAGCUUUAACUGACGCUGAGGCACGAAAGUGUGGGGAUCAAACAGGAUUAGAAACCCGCGUAGUCC
RNAcentral lists this ribosomal RNA (273 nucleotides) under uncultured bacterium. Its description in RNAcentral is "partial 16S ribosomal RNA". It matches the Rfam family "Bacterial small subunit ribosomal RNA", at positions 524 to 796 of the family's 1533-position model. The record is from RNAcentral.